GAGAUAUAUCCAAUCCUCAGGUCAGUCAUCAACGCAGUCAGAGAUAUAUCCAACCCUCGGGUCAGUCCUCAAUGUUGUCAGAGAUAUAUCCAACCCUCAGGUCAGUCCUCAAUGUUGUCAGAGAUAUAUCCAACCCUCAGGUCAGUCCUCAAUGUUGUCAGAGAUAUAUCCAACCCUCAGGUCAGUCCUCAAUGUUGUCAGAGAUAUAUCCAACCCUCAGGUCAGUCCUCAAUGUUGUCAGAGAUAUAUCCAACCCUCGGGUCAGUCCUCAAUGUUGUCAGAGAUAUAUCCAAUCCUCAGGUCAGUCCUCAAUGUUGUCAGAGAUAUAUCCAACCCUCAGGUCAGUCCUCAAUGUUGUCAGAGAUAUAUCCAACCCUCGGGUCAGUCCUCAAUGUUGUCAGAGAUAUAUCCAAUCCUCAGGUCAGUCCUCAAUGUUGUCAGAGAUAUAUCCAACCCUCAGGUCAGUCCUCAAUGUUGUCAGAGAUAUAUCCAACCCUGGGGUCAGUCCUCAAUGUUGUCAGAGAUAUAUCCAAUCCUCAGGUCAGUCCUCAAUGUUGUCAGAGAUAUAUCCAACCCUCAGGUCAGUCCUCAAUGUUGUCAGAGAUAUAUCCAACCCUCAGGUCAGUCCUCAAUGUUGUCAGAGAUAUAUCCAACCCUCAGGUCAGUCCUCAAUGUUGUCAGAGAUAUAUCCAACCCUCGGG
Long non-coding RNA from Oncorhynchus tshawytscha (Chinook salmon), 701 nucleotides. RefSeq lists it as uncharacterized. The transcript has 3 exons. The record is from RefSeq and is a predicted model, not a curated record. Lineage: Eukaryota; Metazoa; Chordata; Actinopteri; Salmoniformes; Salmonidae.